AGUGUUUCCUUGUUAGAAGAUACA
This 24-nucleotide non-coding RNA is filed under the name Arabidopsis thaliana (thale cress). Lineage: Eukaryota; Viridiplantae; Streptophyta; Magnoliopsida; Brassicales; Brassicaceae. The record is from RNAcentral.